GAAGAAAUGAUUAUUAAAAUUUAUGUAUUGCUAAAUAUAUAGAAAUUUAUAUUAAUUUAAAAAAAGUAAUUUUUGGUUGGUUUAGUGUGUAUGAUUUAAUUGGUUAUAAUUAUAGUGUAUUAGUAUUGUGAAAGAAAUCUCAUAUUUGUUGGAAAGAAAAAUUAAAUUUUUGUACCUUGUGUAUCAGGGUUUAUCAAAUAAAAAUUUUAUAUUAAAUUUUCUCGAAUUUAAAAGAGCUAUAUGUAUAUUUUUUUUAUUGUGGCAUAAAUAUUAUUAAUAUACUUAUAGAAGUGAAAUGCUAUACGAUUUUAAAUAUAUCUAGUUUUUUAAGAAAAAAAUUCAAUUUUAGGUUUAUUUUUAUUAUAAAAUUUAGUUAUUAAUUUUAUAAUAGUAAAGGCAUAUAUUUUUAGGGAUGAGCUUGAAAAUAGAUUUAUAUAAUUUAAAUUAUAAAAAAUUUUUUAAUAAGUAGAAUUAAAAGUUUUUAUCUUUAAUAGUGUUUUACUACUAAUUAAAUGUUUACAUAAAAUUUAUAUUUUAGAUUUAUAUUUUUUAUUAAAAUUUAGACUUUAAUAAUAAAAGUUUAGUAAUAAUGAUAAAAUUAGUAUAAUGAUAUUGUUUAAUUUAUAUAGAAAUUUUAGGUUAAGUAAAGGAAUUCGGCAAAAAGAUUUUCCACCUGUUUAUUAAAAACAUGGCCUUUUGAUUAUAAUUUAAGGUCGGACCUGCUCUAUGACUUAAGUGUUAAAUGGCUGCGGUAUUUUAACCGUACAAAGGUAGCAUAAUCAUUAGCUUUUUAAUUGAGAGAUGGAAUGAAGGGUUUAAUGAGAAAAUAACUGUCUCUGUUUAAAUUAAUUAGAAUUUUAUUUUUAAGUAAAAAAGCUUAAAUACAUUUAGAAGACGAGAAGACCCUAUAGAGUUUUAUAGUUUUGAUUAUACUAAGAUUUUAGUAUUGUAAGAUUUUUGUAAUUAAAACUAUUUAGUUGGGGUGAUUGAAAAAUUGAGUAAACUUUUUUUAAUUGAAACAUUAAUUUAUGAGUGAAUGACCCUUUAUUUAGGAUUAAAAGAUAAAAUUACCUUAGGGAUAACAGCGUAAUUCUUUUUUUAAGUUCGUAUUUUAAAAAGAGAUUGCGACCUCGAUGUUGGAUUAAAAUUUAUUUUUGGCGCAGCAGCUAAAAAAAUAGGUCUGUUCGACCUUUGAAAUUUUACAUGAUCUGAGUUUAAACCGGUGUGAGCCAGGUUGGUUUCUAUCUCUAAACAAUUAGAAUGCUUUAGUACGAAAGGACCGAGUAUUUAGUUUAUAUAACUUUAAUAUUAGAAUACUACUAA
RNAcentral lists this ribosomal RNA (1323 nucleotides) under Alcidodes juglans. Its description in RNAcentral is "large subunit ribosomal RNA". The stretch from base 888 to 1251 matches the Rfam family "Archaeal large subunit ribosomal RNA", at positions 2150 to 2716 of the family's 2987-position model. Lineage: Eukaryota; Metazoa; Arthropoda; Insecta; Coleoptera; Curculionidae. The record is from RNAcentral.